This 183-nucleotide ribosomal RNA is filed under the name uncultured eukaryote. Its description in RNAcentral is "partial 18S ribosomal RNA". It matches the Rfam family "Eukaryotic small subunit ribosomal RNA", at positions 1208 to 1390 of the family's 1831-position model. The record is from RNAcentral.
GGAAAACUUACCAGGUCAAAACUAUGGCGGGAUUGACAGAUUGAUAGCUCUUUCUUGAUUCGUGGGGUGGUGGUGCAUGGCCGUUCUUAGUUGGUGGAGUGAUUUGUCUGGUUAAUUCCGAUAACGAACGAGACUCUGUCCUGCUAAAUAGUGUCUGCUUCUCUUUUGAGAAUUGAGCAAUAA